This is a long non-coding RNA of Stegostoma tigrinum, 2977 nucleotides long. RefSeq lists it as uncharacterized. The transcript is spliced from 3 exons. NCBI's taxonomy places the organism in Eukaryota, Metazoa, Chordata, Chondrichthyes, Orectolobiformes, Stegostomatidae. The record is from RefSeq and is a predicted model, not a curated record.
UUAGAGGAUGGGAAAUAUUACCGCGAUCUUAACGAACCUUGUUAAGGUUGGAAGACGGGGCGAAAGUAAAUGGGACAGCCUAAAAGACACGGUGGAAUCGAGGGCUCCUCACUGAGACAGUUUAGACAUGAUUUGCACGUAGUUUCACUUCAUUCUGCCGGUAUGAGCAUUAAUAGGGCUGGGGAAUAAAGGAAAAAUGAGAUCAUUAGACCCAUAUACAUGUCAUGACUGUGUUUGUAUAAGGAGAUUUUUUAAUCUGCCUUCAGCACUGCGCUUUCUCCGUGACCAUAACUCUUGUUAAUUAAUAGCAUAAUUGCCAAUCCGAAGCCCAUUUGAAGUGUAGCGUGCAGUAAUAACACUGUACAUCGUCAUGGCACUGGCUGUGCAUCAUUGCAGCUUGAGUUAAAGACUUCGCACAGAUAGGGCUAUUUGGGGAUCCAUGGACCGGACGUGGAUAGACUGCAGGUAUACGGGAAGCUUCAGAAAUUUCACUCACCACAGAUGAGCACCUUUAAAAAGAGGACUCCUAGUAAAUUCUAUCCUACAGUCUUACGGGCAGUCAUCAAUGUAUCUGAACAGAAAUCAGUUUGAAUGAUUUUGUAAAUGAAGAAUGACUGCCAGCUUUUGAAGUAUUCCAAAGUGCAUACUGAUGGACAUUAUAGCAUUCCACAUUUUGCUGUUCAAUUUGGGCUGAUCAGUCCAUAAUUUUUGCUCCGUGAAUAGAUCAACGAUCUGCAUUUGCCUUUUGGGAAAUCUCAUCGUCGAUGUCAGAUAUGACACAAGCUGAGCAAGGGCUAACCCAUUACUGAUAUUGUUGAUAAAGCUUCAUGACAAUUGAAUCUUAUUUUUAAAAAGUUAUACUGACUUUUUUGUCAUCAAACAGAAGAAUCUAUUCUUUAUGACGGUUGAACUACGCAACAAAAUGAUAUACUAGAAGAAUAAUGAGUAAGUUUUGCUAUUGAAAGUGUAAAAUUAAGUCGUCAUCGAUAAGCAAAAAGCAAUGCCACUCACUCACCAAAUUGACAAGUUCAGCUAUUUCUUAUCGUUUUUCUCAUAAUAACGCAACGACAUGAUUUUUUAAAAAAAGAUUAUAUCGUGUUUCCUUCUGCUGCGGGCAGUGCAGGAAGUAUGUUUCCUACUAAGCUAAUGCUAAACGUCUCGAUGGCAUAAUACUGGUUUAAAUUGAAAGACUGUGUCUCAAGGAUGUUUUAACCAACUCCGAUGCAGUUUGGGUUGCUUAAAUGCAAUCUUCUCUGUAACAGUUUUUUUGUUUAGCAUAACCUUGCUUGUAUUAAAAGUGUUAUCAUUUUAAUUGAUGGAAGACACACAAACACGCAGCGUCCCCUGAUCGAGAUCGCUAUAUUUGAAGGUCAGAUGCACACCUUGUGGCUAACGUCUAUAACUGGAUUUUGAUAUUUCGGAAGAUAUAUUUUCCUCGAUUAAUUUACAGGAUAAUAGCAUAAAUACAGCAUUCACUGAACAUGUUAUUUACGUUUGAGCAAUGUCUGUCGAAUAUCAUAUUCAUCUGUCUCCCGGUUUCUAUACCACAAUCAAUAGAGAUAAGGACAUCUGAAGUCUGAAAGGAGAGUGAGCAGCAGCACCGUGACAGGUACAAUACACAGUAUUUCCUUGAUUGGAUGCUACUGGCAGCUUUAAAACAAUUGCAUCUCGACCAGCAGCUCGUCGGCGAUUAUGGUGUGAAAUUGCAAAGAUGUUUUGCAAUUGUCAUAAGAUACUUCGUCAUUAGAAUGCUUGACAACUGUAGAAUUCAUAAUGGUAUGCAUGCACUUUCCAAAUUAGUGGACGUUGACCAUUGUACAAUUGUAUCUGCUCAACUAAAGGUUACAUAACCAAAUACAACUGUUGCAAAAUGAGCUCCUACAGGUAAACAAAGCAUAUGUGAUAUUUGAUUAGUUGUAUCAAAUACGGCAACGCACUUUAUUUAUUGAAUCGCUUGUGUUUAAUAUUUUCCCUAGACACUUAUUACAUUUAAUGCAUUUGUCUAUUUAAGUACGAAUAUGCAUACAUUCCACUUUACUAAUACAGAACUCAAUUAGAAGUAAAUUUAGUUUUAUAAUAACAGGGGCAGUAACUUGGGACUCUAAUAUCAAAAUCAAAUAUCAAAAAAAAACCAUUAUGUUCCAUGCUGAGAAUUGGCAUACAUCAAUGCAAUGUAGACAUUUUGCUGGAUGUUAAUGUUGGAUAAUACUUUAUGGAUGAGUUAUAUUAUGUGUCCAUGUUAAUAAUGUUAUAGAUCAUACGAUAUGCUGCAACUGAAGAAGACACCCAUGUUUCUAAAUCAUUGCCUUGACUUUCAAUGAGCUUGAAAUGAGAAAUGGACAUUGUCUUAAAUUAAGCAGCAGAAUUUUGAUUACGUUUAUGACUAAAAUCCAUAACUACAUGAAACACCCAAGGGACAACGGCACAGUGGGGAACAGAGUACUUCUACUCGCACCAUUGCUGAACCUCUAGAUUAGUCAAGUAUGUCAUUUAAACUGCUCAGCAAAUAUCACCAACAAAAAUGUACAUUACAGUAUUGGGUGAUUAGUACAAAAACAACAUACCAAUACGUUGUGACCAAUUCCAUUUUAAAGAAAUCUUAAAUUUGUGCUUCCUAAAUGUCGCCUAUAUUUCCUGAAUGUUGUGAUGUGUUGGUUUAUGAAAUGAUAUACUAUAUAAUUAAUGUUGUAAUAUAUGUAUAUACUUGACUUUAGUAUGUACUUAUCAGAUGUUGUAAUAUGUAUGUUUGCAUUGUUUUAAUGUAGUAAUAUACACUUUCUCAAUUCAGUAGCAUGUUACUGACAGUUAGAAUGAUUUGCUGAAUAUUGUAAAAUAUAUACUUGCUUAACACUAACAAAGGCAUUUUCUGGUCAAUGUAAUAUCUAUGUAUGUCUUCGACCAAAUGUUAUACAGGUUUGUUGAUUAUGUACAACAUGUUUACUGAAUUCCAUCAUUAUGUUAUCUAGAUAUUGUAAUA